UAUAUCAAUAUAUAUAUAUAAUAUAAUUUGCAUAAUGACUUAUCAAAGAACAAAAAAUUGUAUUUACGUAGUG
Molecule: transfer RNA, 73 nt
Filed under: Pachyrhizus erosus (jicama)
Lineage: Eukaryota; Viridiplantae; Streptophyta; Magnoliopsida; Fabales; Fabaceae
Description: tRNA-Glu
Source: RNAcentral